This 1061-nucleotide long non-coding RNA is filed under the name Arabidopsis lyrata. Its description in RNAcentral is "long non-coding RNA (ALYR_LNC001932)". The record is from RNAcentral. Lineage: Eukaryota; Viridiplantae; Streptophyta; Magnoliopsida; Brassicales; Brassicaceae.
UUCAAAUUUCGAAAGAUUUUACAUAGGCAGAUUUAUGAUUUUAUGAAUAUUUAGUGACAUGUUGUUAUAUGCUAGGUUGCAUGGAAUCAGAAACGGGUACGCGGAAGCGAAGCGUUUGGAAACGUGGAAGCGAUUUUUAUAGAAAUUAUAGAAAGUGGGUACGUGUUGGAAGCGUAUAUAAAAAUUAAUAUAUAUAUAUAUACAUAUAUAUAUAAUAAACAAUAAACAUUAUAUCAUAUAAAAAAUUAUAAUUAACAUACAAAUCUAAUACAUAAAUUCUAAAUAUCUCUCUAUAUUUAAAAAUCAAAUAGUGUACGUUUACAAUAGAGAAAAGUCAAAUAGUUCAAAGUCAAAAAUUUAAGAUCAUUCUUCAUUCUCAUUUUACUAAUUCCAUCAAAUAAAAUUGUUUUAAAUUUUUUUUUACCAAUAAAAACAUCAUCAAACUCAAAUUUCUCGAAAUUAAUUUAAUUCAAUUAAUCAUUUCAACAUCUCCCUAAUAAAUGAUCCAUGCUGCUAUCAUUUUUCUAACUAUGAUAUUUUAAAAAAUAAAAUACAAAAUUAGUAUGCAAAAUUAGUUUUGGUUUUUCUUUUGUUGUAUAAAAAAACUAUCAAAAAUAAUUUCUUAUUUCUUAUUUAUUUUGUGACAUCAAAUUUUUUAAAUGGAAUCGCAACCUUCCAAAAUAGAAUCGUAAGCUUCCAAGGAGCUUCCAAAAUGAAUUUUUUAGAAGCGUUAUGGAAACGAGAUUCCGAAAGCUUCCGAAAGCUUCCGAUUCCGACUAAGAUUCCGAAGCGGGAAGCGGACGUCCGACGAAGCUUCCGUGCUUCCUAGGUUAUAUGUAAAGAAGCUGGUUACGUUGCUUUUUUCUUGACUUUUAAAGACAACCCAUCAUUAACUCAAAAUGAAUCUUCUUAAAUUUUGUGUUUGUAUUUUCUCAUGUGCUUGCUUUUUCUUUCCACUACAUUAAUUAUUCUCUUAUGUUAUUUGACCAACUUCUUUUUUAAUCAAAAUAUGUCAAAUUUAUUUUUGUUUAUACAUCUUUAAAAUCUGAAAAAUAUAUUUU